RNAcentral lists this ribosomal RNA (492 nucleotides) under uncultured bacterium. Its description in RNAcentral is "partial 16S ribosomal RNA". It matches the Rfam family "Bacterial small subunit ribosomal RNA", at positions 29 to 507 of the family's 1533-position model. The record is from RNAcentral.
AGUGAACGCUGGCGGUAGGCCUAACACAUGCAAGUCGAACGGCAGCACAGUAAGAGCUUGCUCUUACGGGUGGCGAGUGGCGGACGGGUGAGGAAUACAUCGGAAUCUACUUUUUCGUGGGGGAUAACGUAGGGAAACUUACGCUAAUACCGCAUACGACCUACGGGUGAAAGCAGGGGAUCUUCGGACCUUGCGCGAUUGAAUGAGCCGAUGUCGGAUUAGAUAGUUGGCGGGGUAAAGGCCCACCAAGGCGACGAUCCGUAGCUGGUCUGAGAGGAUGAUCAGCCACACUGGAACUGAGACACGGUCCAGACUCCUACGGGAGGCAGCAGUGGGGAAUAUUGGACAAUGGGCGCAAGCCUGAUCCAGCCAUACUGCGUGGGUGAAGAAGGCCUUCGGGUUGUAAAGCCCUUUUGUUGGGAAAGAAAAGCAGCAGGUUAAUACCCCGCUGUUCUGACGGUACCCAAAGAAUAAGCACCGGCUAACUUCGUG